RNAcentral lists this small nuclear RNA (190 nucleotides) under Xenopus tropicalis (tropical clawed frog). RNAcentral describes it as "U2 spliceosomal RNA (ENSXETG00000044234.1)". It matches the Rfam family "U2 spliceosomal RNA". Rfam says of the family: U2 is a small nuclear RNA (snRNA) component of the spliceosome (involved in pre-mRNA splicing). Complementary binding between U2 snRNA (in an area lying towards the 5' end but 3' to hairpin I) and the branchpoint sequence (BPS) of the intron results the bulging out of an unpaired adenosine, on the BPS, which initiates a nucleophilic attack at the intronic 5' splice site, thus starting the first of two transesterification reactions that mediate splicing. Lineage: Eukaryota; Metazoa; Chordata; Amphibia; Anura; Pipidae. The record is from Rfam by way of RNAcentral.
AUCGCUUCUCGCGCUUUUGGCUAAGAUCAAGUGUAGUAUCUGUUCUUAUCAGUUUAAUAUCUGAUACGUCCCCUAUCUGGGGACCAUAUAUUAAAUGGAUUUUUGGAACAGGGAGAUGGAAGAAGAGCUUGCUCUGUCCCUCCACGCAUCGACCUGGUAUUGCAGUACCUCCAGGACCGGUGCACCUCUC